This 254-nucleotide ribosomal RNA is filed under the name uncultured bacterium. RNAcentral's name for it is "partial 16S ribosomal RNA". It matches the Rfam family "Bacterial small subunit ribosomal RNA", at positions 524 to 776 of the family's 1533-position model. The record is from RNAcentral.
GACAGAGGGUGCAAACGUUGUUCGGAAUUACUGGGCGUAAAGCGCGUGUAGGCGGCCCGGUAAGUCGGAUGUGAAAGCUCUGGGCUUAACCUAGGAAGUGCAUUCGAAACUCCCGUGGCUUGAGUUCUGGAGAGGGAAGCGGAAUUCUCGGUGUAGAGGUGAAAUUCGUAGAUAUCGAGAGGAACACCGGUGGCGAAGGCGGCUUCCUGGACAGUGACUGACGCUGAGACGCGAAAGCGUGGGGAGCAAACAGG